This 24-nucleotide non-coding RNA is filed under the name Mus musculus (house mouse). The record is from RNAcentral. Lineage: Eukaryota; Metazoa; Chordata; Mammalia; Rodentia; Muridae.
CCGACAACCAGCUUUCUACACGGC